GGGGAUUAGUGGCGAACGGGUGAGUAACACGUGGGCAAUCUGCCCUGCACUCUGGGACAAGCCCUGGAAACGGGGUCUAAUACCGGAUACGACCACUGAGGGCAUCCUCGGUGGUGGAAAGCUCCGGCGGUGCAGGAUGAGCCCGCGGCCUAUCAGCUUGUUGGUGGGGUGAUGGCCUACCAAGGCGACGACGGGUAGCCGGCCUGAGAGGGCGACCGGCCACACUGGGACUGAGACACGGCCCAGACUCCUACGGGAGGCAGCAGUGGGGAAUAUUGCACAAUGGGCGAAAGCCUGAUGCAGCGACGCCGCGUGAGGGAUGACGGCCUUCGGGUUGUAAACCUCUUUCAGCAGGGAAGAAGCGAAAGUGACGGUACCUGCAGAAGAAGCGCCGGCUAACUACGUGCCAGCAGCCGCGGUAAUACGUAGGGCGCGAGCGUUGUCCGGAAUUAUUGGGCGUAAAGAGCUCGUAGGCGGCUUGUCACGUCCGUUGUGAAAGCCCGGGGCUUAACCCCGGGUCUGCAGUCGAUACGGGCAGGCUAGAGUUCGGUAGGGGAGAUCGGAAUUCCUGGUGUAGCGGUGAAAUGCGCAUAUAUCAAGA
Molecule: ribosomal RNA, 601 nt
Filed under: Streptomyces hawaiiensis
Lineage: Bacteria; Bacillati; Actinomycetota; Actinomycetes; Kitasatosporales; Streptomycetaceae
Description: bacterial SSU rRNA
Rfam family: Bacterial small subunit ribosomal RNA
Source: RNAcentral